This 2896-nucleotide ribosomal RNA is filed under the name Salmonella enterica subsp. enterica serovar Typhimurium. RNAcentral describes it as "bacterial LSU rRNA". It matches the Rfam family "Bacterial large subunit ribosomal RNA". The record is from RNAcentral. Lineage: Bacteria; Pseudomonadati; Pseudomonadota; Gammaproteobacteria; Enterobacterales; Enterobacteriaceae.
GGGUUGUGAGGUUAAGCGACUAAGCGUACACGGUGGAUGCCCUGGCAGUCAGAGGCGAUGAAGGGCGUGCUAAUCUGCGAUAAGCGCCGGUAAGGUGAUAUGAACCGUUAUAACCGGCGAUACCCGAAUGGGGAAACCCAGUGUGAUUCGUCACACUAUCAUUAACUGAAUCCAUAGGUUAAUGAGGCGAACCGGGGGAACUGAAACAUCUAAGUACCCCGAGGAAAAGAAAUCAACCGAGAUUCCCCCAGUAGCGGCGAGCGAACGGGGAGGAGCCCAGAGCCUGAAUCAGCAUGUGUGUUAGUGGAAGCGUCUGGAAAGGCGCGCGAUACAGGGUGACAGCCCCGUACACAAAAGCGCAUGUGCUGUGAGCUCGAUGAGUAGGGCGGGACACGUGGUAUCCUGUCUGAAUAUGGGGGGACCAUCCUCCAAGGCUAAAUACUCCUGACUGACCGAUAGUGAACCAGUACCGUGAGGGAAAGGCGAAAAAGAACCCCGGCGAGGGGAGUGAAAAAGAACCUGAAACCGUGUACGUACAAGCAGUGGGAGCCCCACCACUAAGCCAGUGGUGAACUCCACAUCCGCAUCCUUUGCUGAGGAUACGGUUAACGGAGCGAAAGCGACGUUCAACCGCAAAACAAGCAGAGGGGGCUUAGUGGUGGGGUGACUGCGUACCUUUUGUAUAAUGGGUCAGCGACUUAUAUUCUGUAGCAAGGUUAACCGAAUAGGGGAGCCGGAGGGAAACCGAGUCUUAAUUGGGCGUUAAGUUGCAGGGUAUAGACCCGAAACCCGGUGAUCUAGCCAUGGGCAGGUUGAAGGUUGGGUAACACUAACUGGAGGACCGAACCGACUAAUGUUGAAAAAUUAGCGGAUGACCUGUGGCUGGGGGUGAAAGGCCAAUCAAACCGGGAGAUAGCUGGUUCUCCCCGAAAGCUAUUUAGGUAGCGCCUCGUGAAUUCAUCUCCGGGGGUAGAGCACUGUUUCGGCUAGGGGGCCAUCCCGGCUUACCAACCCGAUGCAAACUGCGAAUACCGGAGAAUGUUAUCACGGGAGACACACGGCGGGUGCUAACGUCCGUCGUGAAGAGGGAAACAACCCAGACCGCCAGCUAAGGUCCCAAAGUCAUGGUUAAGUGGGAAACGAUGUGGGAAGGCCCAGACAGCCAGGAUGUUGGCUUAGAAGCAGCCAUCAUUUAAAGAAAGCGUAAUAGCUCACUGGUCGAGUCGGCCUGCGCGGAAGAUGUAACGGGGCUAAACCAUGCACCGAAGCUGCGGCAGCGAACGUAUCACUUAAAGCGAUUCAGCGGGUUACGAUUGACGGAGCGAAGCGACGUCAAAGCGUAUACAAAGUCGAGUCGGUUUAAGGAUACGUUCGUUGGGUAGGGGAGCGUUCUGUAAGCCCGUGAAGGUGGCCUGUGAGGGUUGCUGGAGGUAUCAGAAGUGCGAAUGCUGACAUAAGUAACGAUAAAGCGGGUGAAAAGCCCGCUCGCCGGAAGACCAAGGGUUCCUGUCCAACGUUAAUCGGGGCAGGGUGAGUCGACCCCUAAGGCGAGGCCGAAAGGCGUAGUCGAUGGGAAACGGGUUAAUAUUCCCGUACUUGGUGUUACUGCGAAGGGGGGACGGAGAAGGCUAUGUUGGCCGGGCGACGGUUGUCCCGGUUUAAGCGUGUAGGUGUGUGUUCCAGGUAAAUCCGGUUCACUUUAACACUGAGGCGUGACGACGAGGCACUACGGUGCUGAAGCAACAAAUGCCCUGCUUCCAGGAAAAGCCUCUAAGCAUCAGGUAACACGAAAUCGUACCCCAAACCGACACAGGUGGUCAGGUAGAGAAUACCAAGGCGCUUGAGAGAACUCGGGUGAAGGAACUAGGCAAAAUGGUGCCGUAACUUCGGGAGAAGGCACGCUGACACGUAGGUGAAGUGAUUUACUCAUGGAGCUGAAGUCAGUCGAAGAUACCAGCUGGCUGCAACUGUUUAUUAAAAACACAGCACUGUGCAAACACGAAAGUGGACGUAUACGGUGUGACGCCUGCCCGGUGCCGGAAGGUUAAUUGAUGGGGUCAGCGCAAGCGAAGCUCCUGAUCGAAGCCCCGGUAAACGGCGGCCGUAACUAUAACGGUCCUAAGGUAGCGAAAUUCCUUGUCGGGUAAGUUCCGACCUGCACGAAUGGCGUAAUGAUGGCCAGGCUGUCUCCACCCGAGACUCAGUGAAAUUGAACUCGCUGUGAAGAUGCAGUGUACCCGCGGCAAGACGGAAAGACCCCGUGAACCUUUACUAUAGCUUGACACUGAACAUUGAGCCUUGAUGUGUAGGAUAGGUGGGAGGCUUUGAAGUGUGGACGCCAGUCUGCAUGGAGCCGACCUUGAAAUACCACCCUUUAAUGUUUGAUGUUCUAACGUGGACCCGUAAUCCGGGUUGCGGACAGUGUCUGGUGGGUAGUUUGACUGGGGCGGUCUCCUCCUAAAGAGUAACGGAGGAGCACGAAGGUUGGCUAAUCCUGGUCGGACAUCAGGAGGUUAGUGCAAUGGCAUAAGCCAGCUUGACUGCGAGCGUGACGGCGCGAGCAGGUGCGAAAGCAGGUCAUAGUGAUCCGGUGGUUCUGAAUGGAAGGGCCAUCGCUCAACGGAUAAAAGGUACUCCGGGGAUAACAGGCUGAUACCGCCCAAGAGUUCAUAUCGACGGCGGUGUUUGGCACCUCGAUGUCGGCUCAUCACAUCCUGGGGCUGAAGUAGGUCCCAAGGGUAUGGCUGUUCGCCAUUUAAAGUGGUACGCGAGCUGGGUUUAGAACGUCGUGAGACAGUUCGGUCCCUAUCUGCCGUGGGCGCUGGAGAACUGAGGGGGGCUGCUCCUAGUACGAGAGGACCGGAGUGGACGCAUCACUGGUGUUCGGGUUGUCAUG